RNAcentral lists this ribosomal RNA (301 nucleotides) under uncultured bacterium. RNAcentral describes it as "partial 16S ribosomal RNA". It matches the Rfam family "Bacterial small subunit ribosomal RNA", at positions 509 to 808 of the family's 1533-position model. The record is from RNAcentral.
CAGCAGCCGCGGUAAAACAGAGGGUGCGAGCGUUAAUCGGAUUUACUGGGCGUAAAGCGUGCGUAGGCGGCUUCUUAAGUCGGAUGUGAAAUCCCUGAGCUUAACUUAGGAAUUGCAUUCGAUACUGGGAAGCUAGAGUAUGGGAGAGGAUGGUAGAAUUCCAGGUGUAGCGGUGAAAUGCGUAGAGAUCUGGAGGAAUACCGAUGGCGAAGGCAGCCAUCUGGCCUAAUACUGACGCUGAGGUACGAAAGCAUGGGGAGCAAACAGGAUUAGAUACCCCAGAGUCCCUGUCUCUUAUACA